Molecule: long non-coding RNA, 2689 nt
Organism: Portunus trituberculatus (swimming crab)
Lineage: Eukaryota; Metazoa; Arthropoda; Malacostraca; Decapoda; Portunidae
Exons: 3
Source: RefSeq, a predicted model, not a curated record
ACGACACAUUUCUCGAUCAUUCUUUCGCCACACCUAGAAGGGAGGAAGGUAUUCCCGGCCGACACGGCGACCAGCCACGGUGUUUUGCGUCAUGUUUUGCCUCCACGCCUUGUCCCGCAAGUACUUCUUGGGAUGAGUAGACGUUUAUAAUACUGUCGCGAUCCUAAUAUUGCAAGAUAAACAUUUGUGUAACAGCUGAAGAUCCUUGGUGAGAGGCUGCUAACAUGAGUGCUACCUGCUGUACCUUACCCACGGGCCUGAAUCAGACAAGUAAUUGUCUAGAUCACUCACAUCACCAGGAAUCCAGAUCAUGAUUCUAAAUAGAACACAACCCAUGCAACCAGAUGUCUUCGAGAUGGUUCACAACCUCCAAAUGAUGGACCACCUAGAUGUCACUUCAAGGACACUACAGAAUAUUAAAAAUAGCAGUGAAAGGUGUUACAGUCUGACAUGUGCCCUGGAAGAUGUACAGAAGGAUGUCAAGACCAGAGACUUGAGGAUACCUCCUUAAGCUGCUAGUUGCAUCACAUGGCCGUCUCCAACAUCACACGGAAGACAUCCCAGGCAAGAGUCACCCUGGCCAGAAUAUCACUCUGGCAAUUUGCCAGUUAAAGCUUCACCUUGUCAAGAGUAGUUGGGCAGAUCUACAAUCAACUGUCUCCAGAAGAUACAAAAUGCUACUCUGGUUCCUAUACACCAUUAGAUGGGAGGAUAAGGUAGAUGAGAAGCUGCCCUGAAAAGUGUUGCUCCUGGCAUUGAACUCAAGACUACAAGAAAUGGCAACCCAGAUGUGGACAAGAAUUGGAGAGGAGCACUGGAAACACUUCAGUGCCCUUUGGAGAUCACACAACGCUGCACCACCAAACCACCACACCUGAUUCCAAAGGAGAUUCCUCUCCCACGAUAGGGAUGUUAUAUGGCAGGACAACCACAAGAAGCAGCUUUUUAUGCAAAGUCUGUAAGAUGGGGAUUUGGUUAGUGUCAUUUAGAAAUGCAUAAUUUUCUUUUUGUUUGAUGUGCAACAAUUUGUGUGUAUCCCAGUGUGAUGGUCAAGAGAAUUAGUACUAGGGAGACAGAACAACUAUAGUCAAGAUGUACAAGGAAAGCAUUCUAGUUAAGCAGAAGUCAGCUCAGACAGUUAUGAGCAUGCAUAUUUCUCAGGAAGUGGAAAAGCAGUGUGAAGAGAGUGUAGGACCUGCAUGUGCCCCAUCUCUGGCCUGGCAGGCCUCAAAUAUCCACAAGGAUUAAAAAAUGGAUUGCACUGCCUUGCCUUCCACUAUCAUAAUCUCUGUAAUCCAUGUGGAAUAUAUAUCAUUUAGGUCCAUCAGGCUGGAGACAGGGUGCAGGUAGGUUCUGUGCUCCCUCCAAGAAAUUGCUUCACCUUCUGGCAAACAUACAUACUCAUGUCCUAGAUGAUAUCUGAUUGAUUGGAAUGAUUACCUUCUCCACAAGGCAAUCACAGCCAUUAUGCUGCCCCUAGUACUAAACCUUGCCAUCACACCAAUCAAAUGUUACACAUCAAACCAAAAUCUAAUGGUGCAGCACAAACCCUCCACCUUGCAGGCGAUACAAAGUAGCUGAAUAUGGCUAUCCUGCCACACAGCCAUUACCAAAGGUAUCAUGGCUAUCAAAAGAUCAAUGAAAAGAGAUUCUGUGCUCUAUAAGUUAACUCAUUAUUCAGUUUGCAUGCUGCCCUGUGAAGUCUUGACACUAUAUGACCAAUGUCAUUUCUUUUUGCUCUAAACGAAGGAGGCUCACAACGUCCUUCUGAAAAGGCAAGAUGUUCUGAUGCUAUUGAAACACUAAUUGGCAAGCUUUCAGACUAUCAAGGGAACUGGCAACAACAGUGUGCAAGUCAUCUCACUUGGCUGUAUAGCUGGUAUGGAGAGAACAUAUUUUUCCGUCUGGAAUGCCAUGCAGAGUCUAACUGCAUUAUUUUACUUCCUCCCACCCUCUCAGCGUCCUCAAAAUGACUACAGGCAAGGAGAAACAGAACAGUGUCUACAUUAUACAAAACUUGCCACAAUCUUCUAUUUUUUCUACUCAGAAAGAAGUUAUGCUAAGGAUAACAGACUGGUGCAGUAUUUCAAGGUGGCUGGUAAGCCUACUACAUUUGCCCCACUUCCAAAGUCUGGCAGGCCUUGCAAGGUUUUUCCUUUGAUUUCCCUUGGUUCUUUAGCAACCAGUGUGGCAAUAAGUGCAUGAGUCCUUAGAGUGGUCUUAAAGGCCCAUCCACACGAUAGAGCAAAGUUCGUCAAACACAGCCCACUAUCGGGCAAACUCCGCUGACACAACAGACUGCCUUGUCCACACAGUUAAUCUGCCCCAGUCAAGCUCGGAUAACAGCGAAAGACAGUGGUCGGCCGGGUUGUGUGCAGUACGAGAACUAUGGUGAUCACCAAAAGGGUUCGCAAGAGAAUUGCAUUAUGGAGCAUAACUGUUACUAUAUUAUGUGUGAAGAAAAAAAAGGAAGCGAGUGGAAAAAGCUAGCUCUCGUCUGUGUUGGCUUCGGAGUGUGUCUAUUUUCUUUUUUGUUAUCAACUGAGUCACACGCCGAUCUUUUCUAUUUCAUCACAUAAUUAUGGUCUUGAGGGCAGCUGCACAAUUGUUCAUGUCUUUAUAUGUGACUAGUCUCACGUUCCACAAACAUGGGUUUUGAUGAUACAGGUCUAUUAAAUUAAUAAUUGCU